RNAcentral lists this long non-coding RNA (5007 nucleotides) under Musa acuminata (dwarf banana). RNAcentral's name for it is "long non-coding RNA (MACU_LNC002972)". The record is from RNAcentral. Lineage: Eukaryota; Viridiplantae; Streptophyta; Magnoliopsida; Zingiberales; Musaceae.
UCGCCUACGUCGUCGCCCUCCGAAUCUCGAGCGUGCGGCCUCGAGCUCAUUCGUCGCCCAUCUCCGUCUCCUCUACCGCCUUCCUUUUUCGAACCCUCACGGCCUCUUUUUCCUCGGCUUCCUACGGCUCUCCAAUCCACCGUUAAAGAUGGCAGCGCUCUCAAAGAACCGACGAUCCUCCUAGCUUCCCCCCGAGAGCCGGAGACGGGUCGGCGAGGUUAACGUCGGAGGAUUUCUCCGACUCCCUCCGCCGCGGUGCGUUUUCGGUUUCGGGGGAGCACCUCAAGGAGACAGGGUUCGAUCUUAAGAGCGGCAAUUUCCAAGUCCGCCGAGCGAGCGAGCCCGGAUUGCUGCCAAGAAGGCCCGGGAGGCGGUGGACCGUUACAGAUCUAAGUUGGCGCCGGGGUUCUUGAUGUGGAACAAGUGAGCGCAUUAGAUGGUGAUCGACUUCUUUCUUGACCUGAAUUAUUAUUUAUUUUUCAUCUUCAAUUAUUAUUCAUUGGAUGGUAAUCUUAAUUUCCCCCUCUGAACUCGUACAAACUAUAGUUUUUGCAUGAGUUUGUAUAUUUUUCUCCCUUAUACCAUGUAAUUUGUUCAACUUGGUUAGUACUAGUUUUUGUUACAAAAGGUUUUGUUAUGAUUGGCUAGUUUUCGAACUCACUUAGAUAAGCGGCUAAUUGCUAAGAUGCUGAGAUUCGGAAGGAUUACAUUCCCUCCUGGCCCCUUGUGGGCGAAGUUUGUCGGUUAAGGUUGUCGAGAGGUAUCUAAUGGAUACUGAGACCUUAUACAUGGUCAGAAUUUCCUAAGAUCUUAUGGCAGAGUCCUACUGUGGCACACAAUUUGUCCAUGAAAAAUAUAUGCGAGACACUGUUUUUUUUUUUUGGCAAGGAGGAAGACACUUUGUUGGUCUCAAUCACAUUAUAUAUGACAAUAUGACAAACUCCUCGGGCAGCUUUAGUAAUUAGUGCUGCUUCUCUUAGAUAGGCAACUUUUAAUGCCUCUCUUAUUGGAGUGUAGUUGUCUUUAUUGCAAUGUAGUUAUUUAAACCCUUUUUUUGGUGCACUUAUCUAGUCUCAGUCCCUGCAGCAUCAGGUGCUCUAAAUGCAUGUUCUCAUAAAUAUGGAUACCAUAACAAUAGGCUAAUUAGAUAUUAUCCCUUGUAAUUAGACCUCCUUAACAUUCCAAUCCCUAGGCUUCAAAAAUUUAUAUUGAAAUUUCUAUAGUUAUGAAAAUAAAACAUCUAACUCCAUUUACCCUAACGUCGUCGAUUUUACCGACGGAAGCACAAAAAUAAUGGGCAAAAAGAUAAUUUUAACAUCUUAGUUGGUGGUGACGGACGACGUUGAUGGUGGCGGACAGCGACACUGUUGGGGGCCAUGUGUGGCUGUUGUAGAUGAGAAGAGCGGCAGCAAGAGGUGAAGGUCGUUUUGCAUAUGCGACGACGUCGACGCAGAUGCAAAGCAGCGAAAGAGUCGUUCGACAAUUGCGUCGGUGUCGACACAAAUGCAGAGUGGCCCUUACUUCUCGUUGUCGCUUUCCUCAUCCACACCCGUGGCCCCCAACGGCGUCGUCAUCCGUCACCACCAACUGAAAUAUUAAAAUUAUUUUUUUGUCCAUUAUUUUCGUAUUUCGGUUGGUAAAACCGAUGACGUUAGGAUAAAUGGAGCUAAAUAUUUCACUUUCAUAACUAUAUGGAUUCUAAUGUAAAUUUUUUAGGUCUAAGGAUCGGGAUGCUAAGGAGGUUUAACUACAAAGGAUAAUAUAUAAUUGGCCCUACAAUAGUCGUGCUUGAUCACAUUCUUUUUGGUGUAUGUCAUAUUAGCUCCCAUUAUCCGGUACAUAUUAGUAGCUUCGAUUUCUAGUAGAGUAUUUGAUGCAUUCUAUCAUAAGUAACUUGAUAUAACAGAUGUUGAGAUGAAUUUGCGGCAAAUGGUAGAUGCAUAAUUAAGGAAAUGAAAGUAUGGUGAACAAGAGAAAAAAGAGAUCGAAGAACUAUGACUAAAUGAAAUUUCACUUGUAACUUAGUUUCAGUUUGCCUUGCAGUAAUUAAAUACUUGAUAGCUAAGGCUCCAUUUGUUACUAGAAUUAGUUUUAGGAGAAUAAUCUAAUAUCAUGAUUAUACAAAAUCAAUAACUGCUACUCUCUUUUGGGUAUUACUAUUUGUGAUGUAUUUAAAUAUUCAUUGAAAAGUUUGUUAAAAAAAAAUCAGGACAUAGUGAUUUUAUUAUUGAUCAAUACAAACUUUAUUUGUUUAAGUUGAUUCUACAUUCAAUUGGUUCAGUCUGUUUGAUCAAACCUGACUAUUGACAAAUUGAUAAAUUGAUUUCGUAUCAGGUCAGACUCUGGGUUCUCAGACCCUUCUGCAAAGACAGAAACUAAAACUUUUGCAAAGACGAUAUAUAAAUUUGAGCUCUACUAGCCAACUUAACCGAUCAAGUUCAAGUUGAUCUGAAACUCUAUUUGCAAAAGUAUAAUAUAUCUUUUGAGGUUGACUACUGACCUGAUUUGACCCAGGUCAACAUGUAGGAAAACCCAAUUGUGAUAUGAGACAGGUUUGGGAUAAAACCUACACCCACUCCAUAAAAUUUACAAUUCCUUUGGUUUACAGAUGAACUUCUCUGUCUUUUGGACACUAAUGUCUAACCCAAUCCUGGACAAGACUAAAAUAUAUCUUUUGCUUGAGCUAAACCAUGCCAGGAAUCCUGAUGUUUGAUAAAUUUGACAAGGUGGAUAGCAGCGCAUGCUACAUCAAAGCUGUGGAUAUUGGCACAAUAUGAAAAUAGUAGACAUUAAAUCUUUAGGGAUUUCUAUUGUCUGUUAUUUGACAUUUCAUGAACAAUCAUUUCCUUGGAUCUUUGUUUUGCUCUUCACGAUGGACCAUUACCUGUCAGCAAGUAUUUUUGUUAUCAAUCACUCAACGUUUAUCCGGCAGUGGAUUAUCAGUUCACGGUUAUGAGUCCUGGCAGUACAUUGGAUUGUCAGUUCCUCCAUUUUGUUGGUCUUAAAUGAUUUUCUUGAAGGCAGACACAUUGAAGUGUUUAAUAUUCUUUCUGACAGAUGAUUGUUUGCUAAGAGUUGACAACUUUUUAUUAAUGUCAUCAAUCAUAGUUUCUUUCCUGUUGAUUAAUAACAAGAUCUCUGAGGACCAGUGGUAGGCUGCAGUUAGAAUCCAGUGUGACCAUUUUUGGAUUGUCAGAUAGGAAUACAAGCUUCUGUAGAUGAUUUAUUUCUGCACCUGCAUAGUCCGAAAUAAUAUUGUUCAGUGAUCAAUUAAUAAUGAGACUUUUUUUUUUUUACUUAAAGUGAGCAUUCAGUUUUGAAAAGAAAUCUUGAAAGCCCUUUGGUGCCUAACAACUCAUUUUAUACCAGGUUGAUGUCCUUCGUGUAAUGUUAUGUAAUGUCAAUUCUUCAAUGAAGUCUCCUUAAUUUGAGUUUCCUAAAUUCAGAACACAGUAAUUAUGGUCUUAGCUAAUAGUUUCACAUCUUAAUCCACUAAAUUCUUUUAUUCUCGAGCUUUAUUACACAUUUCUACAACAGUUUUCAUCUGAAAAACACUGCACAAUUGAUGUAAUCUCCUGAAAUCAUCAAAAAAGGGUUGCUAAGGGUGACACUGAAGUUGCUCCUCAAGUUCAAUUUGAGGAGCAGUUUUACAGGUACAUGAUGAAAUCUAUAUUUUUGUAAGAUUAGAUUCAAUGUUAGAUGAUCAAAUAGUUCUAUUUUUAACGAGUUAUGAUUCAAUGUUUAUUUUAAUUAUUUUUGUUCAUCCACAAUUUUAGGUUGGUUGCUGCUCCAGUGCAUAAAAAUUUGCUGGUUCUUUCCUUCAAAGUCAAUGUGGACCCAACAGAUGAAUCCGUUCACUAAGUGCUUCGACAGCAGGAAAUAGAGGAAACGAUGCUGUGCAUCCAUUUCAUUGACAUGGAUAUCCUCGCUCCUACUCGAAGGUUUGCUUCAUAACAUUAGUAUAUGUAGAGCUCGCCUACCUUUUGCCUAGCCUAAAACAUAUAUUUGAUACAUGUUCAGGUGAUCAGAUUGGGCUCUGGAUGAACAAUAUGCAAUUUAAGGGCCCUGCUGCUCUACCACUGCAUCAGAAGAUACGCCUUAGUGAAGCAAAAGGCCGAGGCAUCAAUGUAAGUAGCACGACACUUCAAUUGUUGAGAACAAUGAUAUGAUCGUUCUCUACCACAGUCUUUGUCCUUCAAUGAUUAUAUCAAGUUGUAAGCUUUCCUUGAACGUUUCACAGUCCAUCAGUUACUAGCUUGGAAACUAACCUACAGGGAAAUGUUUCAGUAGUUAUACAUACUCUUGCUCACCAUUUAUUUUUCAUGCAUGCAAUCUCCCAAUUUAUAUAUUGAUUUUCCUGAAAAACUUCAGUAGUACAACUCAAAAGCAAUGGCCAUAAUGGAGGCGCACACAGUCAAUCAGCAACCACUUUGCAUUUCUGGCUAAGUCGGAACUCUGCAAGACAACAAUGCCAAAGGGUGUUCAGACAACGGAGUAAGUCAUGAGGUUUAUCUUAACCUUCCUUAUGAAAUCGAUAGCAGUCUAAAUUAUUUUUUCUUUUGCACUAAGAUCAGCGAGUUGGAACGAGCAUAUGGAUCUCAUCCACCAACGGUGAUAUCUCCGUCGAUGAUGGCAUGCCGCAUCAGAACAAUUUCUUUCACAAGAUUUCGGUACGUGAAGGGCCGGACCGAGGCUCUCAGAAACAAUUCCGGCGGUAUCUUGCUCCUGACCCUCCUUUUUGAUGCCGUAUAUCCUGCAUUUUUCAAGUCUUCUUCAAUCCAGUCUUCUUUGUUCUCCUCCAGGUUCACGUCAACGGUGUCCUCAUCACCCUCGGUUAUCUCCUUCCUCUGCUGCCCUUCUUCCAGCAUCUGGUUCUUGUAGUGCGUGUUUGAUAACUCGAUGCUUCUCUUCACUAACUUCGCCAUCUCAUCGGUGCUCCGAACAGCCUUCUUCCACUGAUCAUCCCAGUACUCCUGUGUCUCCUCCGGAUUCGUCCUUGCUUCCUCG